This is a long non-coding RNA of Papaver somniferum (opium poppy), 658 nucleotides long. RefSeq lists it as uncharacterized. NCBI's taxonomy places the organism in Eukaryota, Viridiplantae, Streptophyta, Magnoliopsida, Ranunculales, Papaveraceae. The transcript is spliced from 4 exons. The record is from RefSeq and is a predicted model, not a curated record.
UUUACAGUAAUAUCUCUAUAUACACAGUGGAGAGGUCGAUUAUCCUGUCAAAUGAAGCUUUCAAUUUAUUUUCUUACAUCAUCUUUCUCAUCUCCCUCAUUCUCUUCUAUAAUUUUCUUUAAAUCUGAAACCUCCACAUUUUUGCACAUACAAAACCAAAAUCAUUUUCUUCUCAAUUUGUCAGAAAAAUCAAUCACCCAUAUUGCAUGUUAGAUAUUUGGAAUUAAGCUUUACCCUAUUGAAUAUAGGAAUUCUAUCAACUAUUUGUUUGUCAGUGGAGGAGGUUCAAGGAGCGGUGGUAGAUUAACUUUUUCCUUGUGGCAGCGUUUAUUGAAUUCAGGAUUCCUGAACGAUAGAGCGGAUGUUUUACCAUAAUAAGGGGAUUGAAGAAAUGUUCAACUUUAUGCUUGUGACAGAUAAUAGUUUAGCACGUUUGCACCAGCUGGGAAUAAUCCACUAUAAUGAAAACUUAGAAAUGUUAUAACAGGCAGCAACGGUGAGUAUGCAUGGCGUAAAUAAUAUCCUACCUGAUUGUCGCCUGUUAGAGCAUUGCUCGGUCAAACUCGCAUGCGUUGCUAUCUCAAGCAUGUUUGUCAAUGUUAGUGAUCAAAACUAUAAGUCUUGAUUUCUUGCCUAUUUGUAGAUGUCUCGGACUAGG